Molecule: long non-coding RNA, 856 nt
Filed under: Setaria italica (foxtail millet)
Lineage: Eukaryota; Viridiplantae; Streptophyta; Magnoliopsida; Poales; Poaceae
Description: long non-coding RNA (SITA_LNC006942)
Source: RNAcentral
GAGGCCCAAAGUGGGGUGUUCUGCUGGGGAGGCUGGACGGCAAGACGUCCAGCAUCAGCGGCGCAAACAACCUGCCGGCGCCCUUCGAGACCCUCGACAUGCUUCGGAGAAAGUUCAGGGCCGUCGGCCUUAACAGCGACGUCGACCUCGUCGCCCUGUCAGGUAGUACAAUAUUUAUUUCUCACUCCACACGAUCUUCACUGCAUCGGUUGGGUUUUCCUCGGACUCGACGUAUAUCAAAAUUAUAUAGUUACCAUAUAUAAUAUAAUAUAUAUAUGUAUAUGUAUAAUAUACUUUCUCCGUUCCAAAUUACUAUUCGUUUUGACUUUUCAAGAUAUAUGGACUUUGACAUGCACUUAUAUAUAUUAUAUCUAGGUACAUAACAAAAGUUAUGUAUCUAGAACAGUCAAAACGAAUAGUCCACGAAUAGUAAUUUGGGACGGAGGGAGGAUAUACUAUAUGUGCAAACCAAAAUUACUGUUCUGAGAGUUUCUGAUGAAGGCCCCUUCUGUUUCUGUCGAACAAUAUGACAACAGGGGCCCACACGUUUGGCAGGGUGCAGUGCCUAAACAUCGCCGACUCCCCGGCCGACCGGCUCUACAACUUCAGCGGGACAAACAGGCCUGACCCAACCCUUGACCCGGCUUACCGAGCAUUCCUAAUCCGGAGGUGCCCGACGAAGAAUGGCAACAGCCCGGUUCUAAACGACCUCGAUCCAACAACACCAGACCUCUUCGACAAGAACUACUACACCAACCUUGAAGUGAACCGUGGGAUCCUCACUUCCGACCAGGAGCUCAAGUCCUCGCCCCAAGCGCGGGGCACCACGGCGCCGAUCGUCGACCAGUUUGCGAGG